Branchiostoma floridae (Florida lancelet) is the source of this 1278-nucleotide long non-coding RNA. RefSeq lists it as uncharacterized. The transcript has 3 exons. The record is from RefSeq and is a predicted model, not a curated record. Lineage: Eukaryota; Metazoa; Chordata; Leptocardii; Amphioxiformes; Branchiostomatidae.
ACAUAUUCGUGGCAGGUACGAGUACCGCCGCCGCCGCUCUACAGUGGGCUAUCCUCUACAUGACGGUGUAUCCGGAAGUUCAGGAAAAGAUAUCCAUGGCUAUUUCGUCAGAAACAGAGACACCUUGGACACCAGAAAGAUAUAAAGGCUGUUAUUACCAGCACCAUUGGAUGAGUGCUGAAGAUGGAUUCAAUGAAAAGGUGACCCUAAAGUCCUGACGUUAUCCCACCCAUUGAGAUGUCAUGUCAAGCUGAAUAUUUUCUACUACCAUCAACGGUUUACCAAGGGGUUAGCUACAGAGCAUCACCCACUGCACGGUUCCUUUUGCUCAAAACUGAGUACAGUAGAAGCCAGUUAAUUGCACAACAGAUAACCGCACACUUCUGUUAAUUGCACGGAAUCUCUAAAUCCCGUGGUAGUACAUUCCAGCUCGAUAACUUCAGUUUGUUGCACUAUCUGGAUAAUUGCAAGAAAGGUGCUGGCAAAUUAAUUUGGGUGUGCAGUUAAACGGCUUCUACAGUACCUGCUUUUUUGUGUCAUCAUGGUAACACAUACAUGUAUUUUGCAUUUCUUUUGAUUAAUAUUGAAGACACAGGGAUGGUAUGUAUGAUCAUGAUAUUUGAAUAGAAAACAUUGAAUUGUCAUUUUACUAUCUGCUGUAAUUACAAUUUCAGAUCUAACUUCUGCCCUGUAAUUGUAGGAAAGUAACAGGGAUUUAUAUAUAACUUUAUAUUAUAAGGACCAUAUUGUGAAAAUGCAGAUCAUGUGGUUUCUGUAGAUAGGCCUCACCAAUAUUUGUAACUGUAACUGUAUCUAUAUGUAUGGCCUAUACUGUACUGUAUAUCUUUUCCAUUACAUGAAACAGAAAGCCUCAUGUAAAUCUUUAAGUGAAAAAUCUAAAUAGAACAAUCAAUCUUUCAUUUCUCAAGGUGAGUCAGAGACAAAAAGGAUGUACUAGUUUUUAUAUGUCUUUCGUUAUUGUUUAGAAUUUUUUAUGAUUAGAGAGUGUCUAUUCUUGGAGCUGAAAGAUAUAUCAUUUGUAGCACUAGCUUUAUAUCUGUAAACAGUAUCUUUUAAAUCUUUAUGAUUUGAGACAGUAUCCAUUUCUAGCACUAGCUAGUAUGUCUUUCUCGGUAGUGUUUUAGAGACAGUAUCUCUCCUUGGUGCUGAAAGGGACAUCAUUAACAGGACUAGCUUUCACAUGUUUACACAUAGUGGUAUUCUUUUUAUUGCUGCAAACAACAUGAAAACAAAAUCAUGAAUACAAGUGGCUGUUGA